This 5128-nucleotide long non-coding RNA is filed under the name Sus scrofa (pig). Its description in RNAcentral is "lncRNA (ENSSSCG00000059236.1)". The record is from RNAcentral. Lineage: Eukaryota; Metazoa; Chordata; Mammalia; Artiodactyla; Suidae.
AUCUAACUUUUGGUAAUGAACCUAGUUGCUACUUAACACGCAUCACUGGAGCCUGCAUUAAACAGAGGAGGCCUCCUAACUCUUUUAAUUCAACUGAACCAUUCUUAAUAAUUCAUAAUUAAGUCUGGCUCAGAAAUGAUAGUCUCCAUGGCAAUAUUGAUUUAUUUGCUUUUUGUGUCUCUGCCAAAUGUUGGAAGCGACAGAAUUCUGCGUCUCGGAAGGUGGGUGGCAUCAACAAAGAUCGCAGACCGAAAGGAACAGCAAAGGGUUUUUACCAAAAGUCCCUUCUGUCGUAACUUCCAAGAAAGAUGAAACGUAAAACGGGAGAGAAGGGAAAGAGGAGAUUACAGGCUCCCCGGCGAGGCGUUCGUGGAAAUUCACAGCCACGUGUACCCACCGGUAUGGAAAACCAGAAGUCCCUUAAAAUCUGUGUCUGUGAGAUGAGAGCAAAGGUCUUUGGGGGCGGGGGCUACACCAGGGAAUGGCCCCCACUCCCCAGAUCCCCAGCUUACUUUCUGCUUGAAAGACCACCAAAGCCUGCCCUCACGGCGCAAAUGAGUUGAAGGAAGACGCAUUUCCAAAAAUGUCCUCUCUGGGCUACAGCCUUCUUCCUGGGUCCUUUGAUGGAAAAUACUCUAGACAUGAAUGUGUGCUAUUAGCGUAGAUUUGAACCCCCCCCCCAAUGUCCUCCAAUGUCGAUCGCCCGUUUCACCUGCUUUUCAUAAAAAUGUCCUUCUGCUCCAGCUGAAACCCCGCCCACCCAAGACCCAUCAUCUGAACCCUGACCUCUGACCCCGAAGGAAAUGAAGUCGGCUCCAACGCCCAGGUCACGAUGCGGUGCUGUCCUUUGCAGACCACAUGGGAACGAACACAGCAAUACUUACCAUAAAAGUAAUAGACUCAGUGAACGUCUGUCUUCAGAGGUAUGAACAGGAGUCGGAUGGUGCAUAAGCAUCGUAUUUUAAAAGUCCGAUUAAGAGCCUGCCUUGAAGCGAGUUGGGAACGGAGACCUGAGGCUGUACCGUGUCUGCUCAACAGGCAACGUCUUGGAAAGCUGCGUCCACAAGUCAGAGCUUCGGGAACUCUUGAGGGGCUUCUGUCUAUGAUUUACUGGCUUUUUCCUUGAAUCCCUUCCAGCCAGUUGGGCAAUAACGUUUUAUUGAAUGGGAGUAAGAUGUGUGUCGGAUCGUGUACUAGAGACUCUUAAAAUGGCUUAAAAUAGCCCAAGGCCAGCAACAUUUUCCAGAUACAAUUGCUGAAGCAUCCUCUGGACAGGCAGAGGUCUCCCUUUUAGAUGACACUAUCCCCUUCGGAAGGCUGGUGUGGGUCACACACGAACUCACGUGCACACAUCACGCCCACACCCAGGGCUGCGGCCCCUGGGCUGAGCAAUAGGAGCAGACAGAAGGCGUUUGAGCCCAGCUCUGCCACCAACGAUGUGUGAUCUUAGCCAAUGUCACCGCACCUCUCUGAACCUCCGUUUCUUUAGCUGUAACGUGCAGCUGACCACCCCGGCUGGUUGGAAAAUUCACAGGACAUGAGAGAUGCGAAGGCAAAAGGUAGGGUCUAAAGCAGACUGCAAGGGAAGAGUCCCAGCUCUUCCCUGCUCCCGCUGUGUGACCUUUGACAAGUUACUGAACCUCUCUGUGCCUCGGAGUUCUUACUUAUAACAUGAAGAUAACAGCAAGUAUCCAUCUCAAACGAUUAUAGUGAGUAUUAAGUCCAUCAGCAUGAUAUGCUUUUAACAGUGCUUCUCAUUAUUGCUAUUAACAAUUGCUGCUCUGUUGGAAAGGAAAGAAAAAACAGACUGCCCUUUGGUCCCCAAAGUCAUGGGAUGUUUAUCCAGCUUCCCAGGAGGCCCCUGAAAUAAAUCCCGAAGGAACAAAACAGCCAUUAAAAAUUGUGUCAAAAGCGUAAUUUUAAAAGCAACACGUCAUUCCCACGAAAAUUGGAACAAAUGAGAUUUUACUCUCAAAUAAAGGGAUGGCAUUGUAUGUGUCUACCUGGGCAGGGUCCUGCAGUGAGAACAAGCAUCCCGCCUGUGUUCCUUCAUUCAGAAGUCAGCGUCUGUUGAGCUCCUAGCGGAUGUGACAUCCUUGCUAAACCCUGGGUGACAGGGACAGCUUGGAUCUUCGCGGAGCUAUAGAGUGAUGACAAAACAACGUGCACUUGCCCAGAGAGGAAUAAAUGGGUUGGGGGCAGAGGAGGAGGGGUGCGCUUCUUGAGAGCAAGGGGAGGGGGCGGGGGGCAACUCCAACUCGGAGGCAGAGGAGGAGUUUUGAUCCGAUGGAGAAGGGGUCAGGCCAUCUGGCAGCAUACGGAGCCCAAAGGCAGGGUGACCCUGUGAGCCAAGACGGGGGUGAGAAGGGGCUGUUGGGGAAACUCGGAGGAGGAGCCCGGAAAACCACGGGGAGGACCUGGGGUCUCCCGCUGUGGCUGUGAGCAUCCCAGAGGCUCUAAGCUGGGGCAGAGCGUGAGUGCAUCUCGCUGUUGAGUGCUCACUCCAGGAGGCGUGAAGCUGGGACCAGGGAGGGGCGAGAUGAGAUUUGGGCCAGGACCACUGCAGUGGCUGCCCUUCAGCGCAUGUGCCCUCAUCCUCUGAUAAGAACACAGAGGGCAAGGUGGGGAGAGGGCUUCUCCCAUCACCAACAUCCCCUGUGCUGGGCUGGGAACUCCAAGGAAGGGGCAGAAAGUGGAGACGAGGAUGAAGAUGAGUCGAUUCGGUGUGGGAGGGGCCUGGGCAGCAAGACGGGGUCUUGGCCCCAUCCCUCCCUUCCCCUGGGCUGGAGAGAAGGAAUUGAAGAGAAGGCUGCAGAGGCCCGGGCACAGCUUCCCCAGGAUGAGAUGCAAGAUGAAGGGACGGCCAGUUGCAAGACCAGCCUUACGGUCCUCGGAAAACCAUGUCCCCCACCCUGGGUAGCAUGCAACACGUAAUGAAUGCUGUGCUAUUCGAUUCAUGCCGAAUAAACAAAAUGACAGAGGAGCAUGUGGAGAGAGGCGUAAAUUCCUCAUUGAUACAUGCAUUCUGGAAAACAAGGAACUGAUUCGGAAAGAGAUCGUGUAGGCUAACCCGUGGUGGUCGUAAAACCUCAAACGGAUCCACAGGUAGCCUUGCAAAAUAGCCCCCAUCCUUUUGCUGACGCUUCUACUUUAAUCUAAAAAGCUCUUGGUGGCCUGGUUCCGAGAUCCCUGUUUCUCUGUUCAAACAGCUUUCUUGAAGUUUGGAAAAUAGAAACUACUCCCCUCGGGGUAUAAAGAACACACCUUUCAAGAUUGGGUAACCUGGCAAAGUGAAAUUAAAAAGCUGGCUGUGGAUAACACCAUUGUCAGGCACAUGGGUUUCACGAUCACGGUUCUUAAAACUAAGCACUAAAAAAAAAAGGGUUCUUCCACCAGGGGUCGGGGUGGGGGACUAUUAGCCCGCUGUCCCACGCCAGCUUCUUGCCCCCCCCCAACAGCACCUCCAGCCCCUGGUCCGCUUAAUAUCUGAUACUCCCCCCCUUUUCCUCCUCCCUCUUUGCGGUGUGUCCUCUGAAAUAGCAAAGAUUUCAAGGAAUAACAACAUCUGAAACACAAAACAAAUCUGUUACCCUCAAAGCAACCGCAGGAGCAGAGCUGUUAAGAGUUACCAGGAGUCCCCAUCAGUCGCCAGCUGUGGCCCCUGGUGUCCCUCAGGGACCAGCCCGGGACAGCAGGUAGAAGAGGGAGGGACACUGGGAAGUUGGGCACUUUUCAAAUUUCAUGGGAGAUGAUGAUGACUCUCGGCGUGGAGACCUGGGGACGCCUUCUCUCCUGAGCACACAGUUAUGCGCGGCCGGAGUAAACACUUAGCGGCGGAGGGAAGGGAAGAGCUUGGGACUUUACCCCACACAAGAAGGGACGCCUUUGCGCCCAGGCUCUCAGCGCCGAGCGUCUCAGCAGGUGCUCAGGCUCGCCCCCUGGUGGUCGGAAAACCUACAGCUGUGGGUGACCCAGGUGGGAAAAGCCUUUUGACUGGUUUUACUCUUCAUCAGCCAAACUAAGCUACUUUUGUUUUUUUUAUGGGCACAUCCUCGGCAUAUGCAAAUUCCUCGGCCAGGGAUUGAAGUCGAGUCUGCUGCAGUCGGAUUCUUAACCCACUGUGCUAUAGUGGGAACUCCUGCUUUUUAAAAAAGUAUAUUUGAUUUACAAUAUGUUAAUUUCUGCUGUACAUCAAAGUGAUUCAGUAUACUGAAUAUAGAUAUAUAUAUACUGAAUAUAGAUGUUAUAUGCAGAAGAGUGUGUGUGUGUACAUAUAUAUACUGAAUAUAGAUGUUAUAUGCAGUAGAGUUUAUAUACAUACUUUCAUAUUCUUUUCCUUUAUGGUUCAUCACAGAAUAUUGACUAUUGUUACCUGUGCUAUGCAGUAGGACUCUGUUGUUUAUCCAUCCUACAUAUAAUAGUUUGCAUCUGCUCAUCCCAAACGCCUGGCCCAUCCCUCCCCCCACCAUCCCCCUUGGCAACCACAGAUCUGUUUCUAGGUCUGUGAGUCUCUGUUUCGUAGAUAUGUUCAUUUAUGCCGUAUUUGAGAUUCCACAUAUAAAUGAGAACACAUGAUAUUUGUCUUUCUCCUUCUGACUUAUUUCACUUAGUAUGAUAAGGUCUAGGUCCAUGUUGCUGCGAAUGGCACUAUUUCAUUCUUUUCUUAAGGCUGAGAAUUCCACUGUACGUAUGGACUCAUCUUCUUUAUCCGUAUUCCUCUGUCAAUGGACAUUUAGGCUAUUUCCCUGUCUUGGUUAUUGUGAAUAGUGCUCCUGUCAACAUGGGGGCCCAUGUAUGUUUUCCAGUUAUGGUUUUGUCCAGACACAUGCCUGGGAGCGGGACUGCUGGGCCAUCGGUAAGGCCUCGGCUUCCUCACUUAUAAAAGGGGGCUGAUAUGGCUCCCGGGUGCUGUCACAGUUACACAGAGGAUGGGGGUGUAACGCCCAGCACGAAGUCUGGCCGGGCUGUCUGUCCCCAGCUCUCCUUUCCCCAUCUGCUCCCUCGAUCACUCAUUCACUCAUUUAUCCAUCCUUUGUGAACUCCCUUUAGAGACCAGGCACCACCCUGGCAGUGGGCAUGGGGCCGUGAGCAAGAGAGAAAGUUCCUGUCCGUGGGAAGCUCACGGCCU